CAACGAGCUGGUUCGCGAAGGUGGCAGCUGGCGACUGUCAUCUACCGAGAGUGGCCUGAUCGAUGAACGGUUCGACGUUGUUGUCGUCGGC
RNAcentral lists this transfer RNA (91 nucleotides) under Ralstonia psammae. Its description in RNAcentral is "Ralstonia sp. LMG 19083 tRNA-Ala". Lineage: Bacteria; Pseudomonadati; Pseudomonadota; Betaproteobacteria; Burkholderiales; Burkholderiaceae. The record is from RNAcentral.